GAUGAGUUGCGAACGGGUGAGUAACGCGUAGGUAACCUGCCUUGUAGCGGGGGAUAACUAUUGGAAACGAUAGCUAAUACCGCAUAACAAUGGAUGACACAUGUCAUUUAUUUGAAAGGGGCAAUUGCUCCACUACAAGAUGGACCUGCGUUGUAUUAGCUAGUAGGUGAGGUAAUGGCUCACCUAGGCGACGAUACAUAGCCGACCUGAGAGGGUGAUCGGCCACACUGGGACUGAGACACGGCCCAGACUCCUACGGGAGGCAGCAGUAGGGAAUCUUCGGCAAUGGGGGCAACCCUGACCGAGCAACGCCGCGUGAGUGAAGAAGGUUUUCGGAUCGUAAAGCUCUGUUGUAAGUCAAGAACGGGUGUGAGAGUGGAAAGUUCACACUGUGACGGUAGCUUACCAGAAAGGGACGGCUAACUACGUGCCAGCAGCCGCGGUAAUACGUAGGUCCCGAGCGUUGUCCGGAUUUAUUGGGCGUAAAGCGAGCGCAGGCGGUUUGAUAAGUCUGAAGUUAAAGGCUGUGGCUCAACCAUAGUUCGCUUUGGAAACUGUCAAACUUGAGUGCAGAAGGGGAGAGUGGAAUUCCAUGUGUAGCGGUGAAAUGCGUAGAUAUAUGGAGGAACACCGGUGGCGAAAGCGGCUCUCUGGUCUGUAACUGACGCUGAGGCUCGAAAGCGUGGGGAGCGAACAGGAUUAGAUACCCUGGUAGUCCACGCCGUAAACGAUGAGUGCUAGGUGUUGGAUCCUUUCCGGGAUUCAGUGCCGCAGCUAACGCAUUAAGCACUCCGCCUGGGGAGUACGACCGCAAGGUUGAAACUCAAAGGAAUUGACGGGGGCCCGCACAAGCGGUGGAGCAUGUGGUUUAAUUCGAAGCAACGCGAAGAACCUUACCAGGUCUUGACAUCCCGAUGCUAUUUCUAGAGAUAGAAAGUUACUUCGGUACAUCGGUGACAGGUGGUGCAUGGUUGUCGUCAGCUCGUGUCGUGAGAUGUUGGGUUAAGUCCCGCAACGAGCGCAACCCCUAUUGUUAGUUGCCAUCAUUCAGUUGGGCACUCUAGCGAGACUGCCGGUAAUAAACCGGAGGAAGGUGGGGAUGACGUCAAAUCAUCAUGCCCCUUAUGACCUGGGCUACACACGUGCUACAAUGGUUGGUACAACGAGUUGCGAGUCGGUGACGGCGAGCUAAUCUCUUAAAGCCAAUCUCAGUUCGGAUUGUAGGCUGCAACUCGCCUACAUGAAGUCGGAAUCGCUAGUAAUCGCGGAUCAGCACGCCGCGGUGAAUACGUUCCCGGGCCUUGUACACACCGCCCGUCACACCACGAGAGU
RNAcentral lists this ribosomal RNA (1332 nucleotides) under Streptococcus thermophilus. Its description in RNAcentral is "bacterial SSU rRNA". It matches the Rfam family "Bacterial small subunit ribosomal RNA", at positions 90 to 1411 of the family's 1533-position model. The record is from RNAcentral. Lineage: Bacteria; Bacillati; Bacillota; Bacilli; Lactobacillales; Streptococcaceae.